CAGGAAAUAGUUUAAAUUAAAAUAUUAAUUUUGGGAAUUAAAGAUAAAGGGUUACUCUUUUUUCCUGA
RNAcentral lists this transfer RNA (68 nucleotides) under Sitona obsoletus. Its description in RNAcentral is "tRNA-Pro". It matches the Rfam family "tRNA". From Rfam's summary of the family: Transfer RNA (tRNA) molecules are approximately 80 nucleotides in length. Their secondary structure includes four short double-helical elements and three loops (D, anti-codon, and T loops). Lineage: Eukaryota; Metazoa; Arthropoda; Insecta; Coleoptera; Curculionidae. The record is from RNAcentral.